CCGCCAAGGGACUACAACCCCAGUUUAAAACCCAAAGGACUUGGCGGUGCUUUACACCCCCCUAGAGGAGCCUGUUCUAAAACUGAUAACCCUCGUUAAACCUCACCCUCCCUUGUUUUAUCCGCCUAUAUACCGCCGUCGUCAGCUUACCCUCUGAAGGCAAAACAGUGAGCAAAUUAGUACAACCCAAAACGCCAGGUCGAGGUGUAUUAUAUGGGAGGGGAAGAAAUGGGCUACCUUCGUCUACUGACGAAUAACGAAUUUUUGUUGAAAGAUAAAUUUGAAGGAGGAUUUAUCAGUAAAAAGGAAAUAUAUUGUCC
Molecule: ribosomal RNA, 320 nt
Filed under: Halicampus grayi (Gray's pipefish)
Lineage: Eukaryota; Metazoa; Chordata; Actinopteri; Syngnathiformes; Syngnathidae
Description: partial 12S ribosomal RNA
Rfam family: Bacterial small subunit ribosomal RNA
Source: RNAcentral